Molecule: ribosomal RNA, 878 nt
Filed under: Myxobolus diaphanus
Lineage: Eukaryota; Metazoa; Cnidaria; Myxozoa; Bivalvulida; Myxobolidae
Description: bacterial SSU rRNA
Rfam family: Eukaryotic small subunit ribosomal RNA
Source: RNAcentral
AGUGUAGAUGUGUAUUGGUAAUGGUAGACGUUACAACGUAAUGUUCUACUACAAUAUGCAACACCGACCGCCAAUUACGGAUGUUGGUUCCGUAUUGGGGUACUGAUUAAGAGGAGCGGUUGGGGGCAUUGGUAUUUGGCAGCGAGAGGUGAAAUUCUUGGACCUGCCAAGGACUAACAAAUGCGAAGGCAUUUGUCCAGACCGUAUCCAUUAAUCAAGAACGAUAGUGAGAGGUUCGAAGACGAUCAGAUACCGUCCUAGUUCUCACUGUAAACUAUGCCGACCCGGGAUUAGUCCUAUGCCUUAUUGUUACGGCUUGGGUUGGUCCCCCUGGGAAACCUAAAGUUUUUCGGUUGCGGGGGGAGUAUGGUCGCAAGGCUGAAACUUAAAGGAAUUGACGGAAGGGCACCACCAGGGGUGGAGCCUGCGGCUUAAUUUGACUCAACACGGGAAAACUUACCGGAUCAGGACAUCAAAAGGAUUGUCAGACCGAAGAUCUUACAUGAUCUGGUGAUUGGUGGUGCAUGGCCGUUCUUAGUUCGUGAAGUGAUUUGUCAGGUUAAUUCCGGUAACGGACGAGAUCACAAUCUCCAUUUGACGAACUGGAGUAAAUGUAAAGCAUCUAUGUGUUUGGUAAAACAAAGAUGUAGAUGAAAUUUACGUUGUGGGUAAAGUGUGGAGGAGACAAGGAAAGGAGAGGGAGUGUGGCAACAUGCAACUUCGAAUGGAAAGGUUGAAUCUACAUUUUGCCUCCAGUCAAACAUUGUGUAGUUAGCUUUUAGCUGCAUGGUGUAUCAUGGAGAGACAACGGAACAUAAUCAAAAUCCGAGGAAGUGUGGCUAUAACAGGUCUGUGAUGCCUAAGAUGUCCUGGAAGGG